UUUUGCAACAUUUAUCUGAACUUUUCCAAUAAAUAUAUCUAUUACAACGAAUCCUGAAAAAGAAUUCAAUUGGCACGGUUAUUAAUUCCCUCCUAAUUUCUCCUCUCAAUUUUCAUCAAACCCGCCAAAACCUCUCUUCUUUUACAUUCUAUUUUUUUUUUGUUUACCUAUUAAUAGUUUUUAUGUGAUAGCAAUUAAUUAACUUUUAACCAAUAAGUUAGGCAAAAUAAACAAAUUCAUUUCUAACCUUCCAUUAUCUCUAGCAAACAUAAACUCAAAGAAUACCCAGAUCCUAUGAGGCAAAAUAAGGAUUCUUUAUGGAAUUAAACCUCAACCCAUUACCAAAUGCGAUAAAUCAAAGAUGAGAAUCAAUUUGGCGUUCAUACUAUUUGGGCGCGAUUGAGAUUUCUAUAAUUUUUCUACUAGGGUUUUGAUUUGUUCGUUCGUACUACUUGAAAGAAGGAAGAGAAAGACGAGAGAUUGACGCUAAGAAAUAGCAAAAAAGGGACACUCAACCAAUGUUUCUUCCAUCUCUCGAUCUCGUUCCUCGCUGAAAAUUGUCGGCGGUAGAUAUGGGAGAUACCAUCGCGGUAAGUUUUUUUAACUUUUUUUUUAUAAAUUUGGGAUAAACCAGAAAAUUCUCUAGCAAAGUUUUUUUUUUCUUUAAAGGCAUCCAAUGUUAUCCCUCAAACACUGUAACAUAAUGUUCUUUGCCCAAUUUCAUUCUCUUGGUAUACAUUAGUUUUCUUCGCUAUUGUGGGUCAAAAUAGUCGAGAUUUCUUAAUUUUUUUAUUGUGGGUUAGAUUCAAGGUAAGUCCAACUCAUUAUUUCUUUUUUAUUCUAGUAUUUAAAAGUUUCUCAACUAAGUAGGUGAAAGUAUCUCUAGGUUAAUAUUAUAUUUUGAGGGUGUAAUUAUGUGGGUAAAGAGGUUUUUAACUAUACUUUGUUACAUGGUCGAUUUUGAUGUUGCAAUAGGUGAGUUGUUGUUGGGUUUAUAAUUGAUCUUAAUCGAGUAUGUCAUGUAUCUCCAAUAUUCGAUAGAUUGCCAGCCUAAUAGUAGCAAGUAGGUUUGUCACAUGACUCGUUUUGUUGCAAGAUUUAGUCACCAUUAAUGUCCCUAAAUAAUAUUGUCGCGCUUAGGAUAUAUUUCGUUUAGUCCAUUGUGUGGGGUGCAUUCUUCUGAGGGGGGAGAUGCUUUAAGACUUGUGGUGUCUGUCGUUUCAUUAUGUGCCCUAUUUAGUUAGUAAAACUGUAUGGGGAUAAGGGGAGUACCUUAUAUUAUGACAGGAGUUGAAGCUACGCAGCCUUAUAUUAUGACAGGAGUUGAAGCUACGCAGUGGUUGUAUUGGCAUUAUUGUUGAUGGACCUUGAGGCAUCAGAUAUUUACAUUUAUAAUUCCUUUCAAUAUUAUAACUUACUAUUCAUGUUGUCUCCAAAAUAUAGUACAUGAUGAGUUGAACUGAAUUUAGUUGCAUAUUCUCUGUGGCAAUUUGCAGAUUGCUGGUGCAGUAGUGGUAGCAAGAUAUCGCUGAGAAACUCUUGUGCCCUUAGACUCAGGGGAAGUGAACUUGGUGAUAAAUUUUCAGUGUUUAAAAUUCACGUUACAUCAUCUUGUUAUUCUAGUGCAGUUGUGUUGCUUGUUUCGAAACUGGAUCUACAUUUCUAAGGAUCCAUGUCAUGUAUAGUUUUAACUUGAAAAGAACAUUUUUUGAGUAGUUUUCUUGACAUUUGCUCCUGCAUUAGGUGAUUCUUUUUUAACUUAUAGGACAUAAAGUUAUUAUAAGAUCAUUCAGUUAUAUUUCAUUAAAAAAUCAUGUUAUAGUCAAUAAGAAAAGAUUCAAAGAGCUAAACUUUGAUAGAAAUAUGUUCUUUACCAGCUGAAGUGCCAUAAAAGAAUUUACCACACACAUCCCCAUAUCUCUCUUGAUUUUAAAUGGUCCCAAGAUAGGAAAUUAAGUUUGCAGGCAGACAUUAACUUAUCUUGACAAUUAAUUUAUCCUUUCUAAGGUUUCUUUCAUCAGAACUAUACUUUUUGUGCAAACUAUCUGAGGGUAAAAAUUAAAAUAACUGUAAAUUUGUGCAAUAUUUGAAAAUGUUAAUUGGCCUAAAUAUUUUCAAUCUAUAAAUUUGCUCGUCUUACUAUUAACAUAACCGAGGUGCUUAAUUUAUUGUACCCCAUACAUUUGAAGCUAUUAGGAGCUUAUAAAUUAGUGGUUCUAGAACUUUUUGAUGCUUGCAUGUGUUGUAAUUGCUAUUUCUUUAUUUCUCAACGAGAAAUUAUACUUAAAAAGCUAUUGUUUUGUUUUCCAUUUAUAAUGUAUAUAAGAUGAUUUAUUUUUUGCAUCUUAGUGUUUAAUUUGUUAUUUUCUUUUCUAUAAUUUAAUAUUGAUGAUUAUCUCACCAGAAUUUACAUUUAAUUAGUAAAAUAUAGUUAACCAUAUUUUUGAACUUUUUUGUCCGCAACUGUAUGUUUUUUAUUGCAUUUAAUUUGUGGCCAGGAAGUUAUUGGUUAUAUCACCAGAGCUGGUAUGUAUGGGAAAUCUAAAGUAGAAUUCAUAGAGUUCAGCUAGUAUUACAUCGUGUGUCCAGUGGUCGAUUGUAACUUAUGUAGCCUUAAGAUAUUUACUUCAUUUGCAGCGAUUGUCACAGAUGGACGUGUUCACACUUAUGAUUAGUAACUAGUUAGAUAACUAUUUAUCACACUGUUUUCAAUAGAAAAUAGUUUUAUCUUUAAUUAAUUAUUUAGCCUUUCAUUGUUAAAGUCUGAACUUUGAUACUCAACAUGUUCCUUGUGAAUUUAAGUUUGAAACUCUUAAGUAUUUCUAAAGUUAGGAGUAAAGCAUAUGGAUGUGGCCUAUGUAUACCUACUACUCUGGUUGUGUAGGGCUACGUUGUUGUUGUAUGUUGAUUCGGAUAUAGUGACUUUCACUUGUGAUUGUAAUAUCAUUUAUUUUGUAUUCUCGUACACAUGAUUUGUCCCUCAAAAGAUUAAAAUUAGUUUAUUCUCAAGUGUGUAAAACGAACAUGCUAAAAAUUAAAUACAUGAAUCAAAUACUGUUUGUAGUUCGCUUCUUUAGGAAGAGUUGAUGUUAUGUUGGAAUGACUUUAUGUGCUUUUAAAUUGAUAUCUCAAUUUUUUCUCUUCUUACAGGUGGAUAUGUACAGAAGAAACAUAAAUGAGGAGAAAUUUGACCGAGGCUAAUUUUGCUAAUAGUUAAUUGUCAUCUACCUUAGUCUUGAAUUUGAGUAAACAUUGGUCGAUAAUUGUAACUUUUUAUAUUUUUUAUUCGUUAUUUCCCUAAUAUUGCUAAUUCUAUACAAUAUUUAUGUCCUCUCUCAAGAUGAUAUGUAGAUCUAUUAAAUUUGGCUUGUAUAUUUCCUGUCUGAAACAUGAGUUUAGGCUUGUGAUCAGAAAUAAUGAAAAGCCAAUGCCUACUGGAAUUAGUUUUAGAUGUUUAUCCAUCACUUGUUCUUCCAAAUGGCCUCAUUUUGCUUAUUGUACGGAGUUCUAGAUCUGUUCAUUAACCAAAUAAUUGUAGAACCA
This 3543-nucleotide long non-coding RNA is filed under the name Nicotiana benthamiana. Its description in RNAcentral is "long non-coding RNA (NBEN_LNC023800)". The record is from RNAcentral. Lineage: Eukaryota; Viridiplantae; Streptophyta; Magnoliopsida; Solanales; Solanaceae.